CGGUGGUUGUAAACUAAACAAACCUAGGAUUCCCUGCAACUGUACCAUAGAGUGCCAUUUCAAAGACUAGCUAGUAAAAAUUGUCUUUACGUGUUUAUUCAAUGAUUAUAAUUUAUGUGCAAUCCCAAAAAUAUUUUAAUAAACGGAUCAUGAGAAGUUGUUACAAUCCACAAGGUAUUACUAAGUGGAUCCUCAUUCCUCGAGAUAUAUAAGUUGGAAAAUGGAAACAAAGGAUACGUGUUAUAUGCAUAUUGUCUCGUACGUGGUUGGUUGAAAAUUGAAAUUGCUAUCAAGUUGAUUUCGCAGUAGUUUGUGUGGGGAGGUUCAGCCAGGUUCCAAACAUACAUCCAUUCAAUGGACCCCAAAAGUGCAGCCAACUUUUGUGCCGUAGUUGGAUUCCUGACAUUGCCAGGGAGUGCUCAAUGGUUAAUGUUGCAGGGAUUGAACAUCCAUGCACAGUAGUAAUCAGGACCCUGCAUUGGAACCUUGCCGAUUAUUUUCCAUGGGGACUCAAUUUGGGAUAUCUCUAUUUAUGGUGCAUAAACCCGGUGAAGGCCUUUUUCUAAGCCUCCUCGCCACAGCUUUUUCACCAUUGGUAAUUUAUUUUCUUUCAGGACUCACUAAAAGUCUUAGCAAUGAUUUAGUUAUAGUACUACUACCGGUGAGGAGCAAAUAAGAAAAAUAAAUACAAUUGCUGUAGUGCCAGAGGGCUUGUAUGAUAGAGUUGAGGAAGGAAGUAUAAAGCUCAUCAAGAAAGCAGAGGAUUUUGAAUUCUCAAAAGAAGGUAUUGUGUUCGAGGGUGAAGCCGAACCAGUAAAAUUUGACUUAGUUAUACUCGCUACUGGCUUCAACGAAAUUGAUAAGCUCAAACAUAUUUUUGAAUCAUCAAAAUAUCAGGAAUUCAUAAUAGGCUCGGAUGAUUCUACCGCAGUUCCCCUGUACAGGUACGUACAAUUUUCCAUUUGCAGAAGAGAUAAUGGUGCGCCAGAGAUGUUUCGUAUUCUAGACAGUUUUUCCUAGCUUGGAUUUGUACAUUUUGUUGUCAUAUCACGAUCAAAUCAAACAAUAAAUACUCCGAUCAGAGCAGUCUAAACACGACACGAAGGCAAACUCAUGAAAAUAUCCUUAUGUCAAAAUAAAUUGAAUGAACAUUAUCAUGCAACUUUAUUGCAUUCUUUUUUUUUUUUUUUUUUUUGGCUUUUCUAGGUAUCCCCAAGGCCGGCAGCCGUGAGACUAAUCCUCCGUUCCUACUGUCAGCGCACUAAGCGGUAAGGAACUGGCUCAAAAGAACUUAAGCCGCUCGGGUUGGCGUGUUAAGAAAAAAAAGAUACCGUCCAACAGAAAUCUCAAUGAAAAUUAUUGAUAAUACAAUUGCUGAUUUUGGUUUGUUAUUAUGGAAUUUUAAUUAUUGAACUACAGGACAUCAACUGGAUAAUUUUUUUCAAAAAAUCACAGUUAGGUGCCUAUUUGGUUGCAAAUUAGCAAAAGAAUUCAUCGUGCAUAUUGUUGUUGCAGUUGGUAAGCAUUGUGAUAAUACCAAUAGGCAAAGUUACUAAUAUAUAUACUACAACAUCCAUAAUAUAUUACAUCUCUUUACGGGGUGAUUCUUUAUCCGACGAUAUACUUUGUAUGUCAAAUUUCUCUAGCUAUAAUGUUAGAUCAAUUAAUAAUAUAGAGAUUUUUUUUAUCAUUGUUCAAUUUAUUAUUAAGCUAUACUUGGUACAAUUCAAAACAUGUGUUUUAUUAUGUCUAUGUAAUAAUAAUAUAUUGGGGUCCUAAGUGUUGGGUUAUUGUGUCUUUUUUCCCUCCUAUAUGGAUAAAUGAAGCCCAAUUUGGACCAGCCCACUUUUGCCCAUAGGUUCAUUACUAUGAGGCAUAUAUAUUGAUCUUUUUAAGUCUUAUUCACCAUCACAAAA
Molecule: long non-coding RNA, 1916 nt
Organism: Capsicum annuum
Lineage: Eukaryota; Viridiplantae; Streptophyta; Magnoliopsida; Solanales; Solanaceae
Exons: 3
Source: RefSeq, a predicted model, not a curated record